Molecule: ribosomal RNA, 574 nt
Filed under: Faucicola osloensis
Lineage: Bacteria; Pseudomonadati; Pseudomonadota; Gammaproteobacteria; Moraxellales; Moraxellaceae
Description: bacterial SSU rRNA
Rfam family: Bacterial small subunit ribosomal RNA
Source: RNAcentral
AACAUUUAGGAAUCUGCCUAGUAGUGGGGGAUAGCUCGGGGAAACUCGAAUUAAUACCGCAUACGACCUACGGGUGAAAGGGGGCGCAAGCUCUUGCUAUUAGAUGAGCCUAAAUCAGAUUAGCUAGUUGGUGGGGUAAAGGCCCACCAAGGCGACGAUCUGUAACUGGUCUGAGAGGAUGAUCAGUCACACCGGAACUGAGACACGGUCCGGACUCCUACGGGAGGCAGCAGUGGGGAAUAUUGGACAAUGGGGGCAACCCUGAUCCAGCCAUGCCGCGUGUGUGAAGAAGGCCUUUUGGUUGUAAAGCACUUUAAGCAGGGAGGAGAGGCUAAUGGUUAAUACCCAUUAGAUUAGACGUUACCUGCAGAAUAAGCACCGGCUAACUCUGUGCCAGCAGCCGCGGUAAUACAGAGGGUGCGAGCGUUAAUCGGAAUUACUGGGCGUAAAGCGAGUGUAGGUGGCUCAUUAAGUCACAUGUGAAAUCCCCGGGCUUAACCUGGGAACUGCAUGUGAUACUGGUGGUGCUAGAAUAUGUGAGAGGGAAGUAGAAUUCCAGGUGUAGCGGUGAAAU